This 643-nucleotide ribosomal RNA is filed under the name Escherichia coli O157. RNAcentral describes it as "partial 23S ribosomal RNA". It matches the Rfam family "Bacterial large subunit ribosomal RNA", at positions 595 to 1239 of the family's 2925-position model. Lineage: Bacteria; Pseudomonadati; Pseudomonadota; Gammaproteobacteria; Enterobacterales; Enterobacteriaceae. The record is from RNAcentral.
GACUGCGUACCUUUUGUAUAAUGGGUCAGCGACUUAUAUUCUGUAGCAAGGUUAACCGAAUAGGGGAGCCGAAGGGAAACCGAGUCUUAACCGGGCGUUAAGUUGCAGGGUAUAGACCCGAAACCCGGUGAUCUAGCCAUGGGCAGGUUGAAGGUUGGGUAACACUAACUGGAGGACCGAACCGACUAAUGUUGAAAAAUUAGCGGAUGACUUGUGGCUGGGGGUGAAAGGCCAAUCAAACCGGGAGAUAGCUGGUUCUCCCCGAAAGCUAUUUAGGUAGCGCCUCGUGAAUUCAUCUCCGGGGGUAGAGCACUGUUUCGGCAAGGGGGUCAUCCCGACUUACCAACCCGAUGCAAACUGCGAAUACCGGAGAAUGUUAUCACGGGAGACACACGGCGGGUGCUAACGUCCGUCGUGAAGAGGGAAACAACCCAGACCGCCAGCUAAGGUCCCAAAGUCAUGGUUAAGUGGGAAACGAUGUGGGAAGGCCCAGACAGCCAGGAUGUUGGCUUAGAAGCAGCCAUCAUUUAAAGAAAGCGUAAUAGCUCACUGGUCGAGUCGGCCUGCGCGGAAGAUGUAACGGGGCUAAACCAUGCACCGAAGCUGCGGCAGCGACACUGUGUGUUGUUGGGUAGGGGAGCGU